Molecule: non-coding RNA, 70 nt
Organism: Phthorimaea operculella (potato tuberworm)
Lineage: Eukaryota; Metazoa; Arthropoda; Insecta; Lepidoptera; Gelechiidae
Source: the annotation of a GenBank genome assembly
GCGCCUGUAGCUCUGUUGGUAGAGCGGUGAAACGGCAAUCCAGUCUCGGGUUCAAGUCCCGGCGGUCGCU